RNAcentral lists this ribosomal RNA (490 nucleotides) under uncultured bacterium. RNAcentral's name for it is "partial 16S ribosomal RNA". It matches the Rfam family "Bacterial small subunit ribosomal RNA", at positions 30 to 507 of the family's 1533-position model. The record is from RNAcentral.
AUUGAACGCUGGCGGCAGGCCUAACACAUGCAAGUCGAACGGUAACAGAAAGCAGCUUGCUGCUUUGCUGACGAGUGGCGGACGGGUGAGUAAUGUCUGGGAAACUGCCUGAUGGAGGGGGAUAACUACUGGAAACGGUAGCUAAUACCGCAUAACGUCGCAAGACCAAAGAGGGGGACCUUCGGGCCUCUUGCCAUCGGAUGUUCCCAGAUGGGAUUAGCUAGUAGGUGGGGUAACGGCUCACCUAGGCGACAAUCCCUAGCUGGUCUGAGAGGAUGACCAGCCACACUGGAACUGAGACACGGUCCAGACUCCUACGGGAGGCAGCAGUGGGGAAUAUUGCACAAUGGGCGCAAGCCUGAUGCAGCCAUGCCGCGUGUAUGAAGAAGGCCUUCGGGUUGUAAAGUACUUUCAGCGGGGAGGAAGGGAGUAAAGUUAAUACCUUUGCUCAUUGACGUUACCCGCAGAAGAAGCACCGGCUAACUCCGUG